Molecule: ribosomal RNA, 775 nt
Filed under: uncultured Neocallimastigales
Lineage: Eukaryota; Fungi; Neocallimastigomycota; Neocallimastigomycetes; Neocallimastigales
Description: partial large subunit ribosomal RNA
Rfam family: Eukaryotic large subunit ribosomal RNA
Source: RNAcentral
UACUAGAGUAGCACUUGCAUAUCAAUAAGCGGAGGAAAAGAAACUAACAAGGAUUCCCCUAGUAACGGCGAGUGAAGCGGGAAGAGCUCAAAUUUGAAAUCUUAAAGGGUUUCCCUUUACGAAUUGUAGUUUAAAGAAGUGUUUUCUGUUGAGGUUUUGGUAAAAGUUCUUUGGAAUAGGACAUCAUAGAGGGUGAGAAUCCCGUAUUUGACCUUUACUUUCAACUUUGUGAUACACUUUCAAAGAGUCGGAUUGUUUGGGAAUGCAGUCCAAAAUGGGUGGUAAAUUUCAUCUAAAGCUAAAUAUUGGCGAGAGACCGAUAGCGAACAAGUACCGUGAGGGAAAGAUGAAAAGAACUUUGAAAAGAGAGUUAAACAGUACGUGAAAUUGUCAAAAGGGAAGCGUUUGGACACCAGUGUUGUUUUUCUGAAAAUCAAUUAAAGAACUGUUUAUGCUAAGCUGUUUAGACUUUAUCAGCUAACUGUUUAGUUUUGAGCUUUUCUUUAAUGCACUUUUCAGCUAACAAGUCAACAUCAAUUUCUUUUGCUGUAAAAAAGCUUGAGGAAGGUGGCUUGAGAUUCGUCUUAAGUGUUUAUAGCCUCUUGCCUAUGCAGUCGGAGAGAUUGAGGUCUGCAGCGUAGAUCCUUCGGGGCUAAAUGCAUUUGUGCUAAGUUAUAGCAUUUUAUAGACAACUUGUUGACUAUGAUUUGUCUUGUAGCUUACUCGCUUAUGUUAUUUUACCUACGCUUAGGAUGUUAAUCUCUCACAGUCGAGC